CCUACGGGUGGCAGCAGUGAGGAAUAUUGGUCAAUGGGCGCGAGCCUGAACCAGCCAAGUCGCGUGAGGGAGGACGGCCCUAUGGGUUGUAAACCUCUUUUGUCGGGGAGCAACGGGCGUCACGUGUGGCGCCACUGAGAGUACUUGGAGAAAAAGCAUCGGUUAAGUCGGUGCCAGCAGCCGCGGUAUUACGGAGGAUGGGAGCGUUAUCCGGUUUUUUGGGGUUAAAGGGGUGCGAAGGCGCAUUGUAAAGCCAGGGGGAAAGUUGGGGGGCUAAACCUCUACCCGCCGUUGAAACUGGCGCUCUUGAGUAGAAGAGAAGUAUGCGGAAUGCGUGGUGUAGCGGUGAAAUGCAUAGAUAUCACGCAGAACCCCGAUUGCGAAGGCAGCAUGCC
This 395-nucleotide ribosomal RNA is filed under the name uncultured bacterium. RNAcentral describes it as "partial 16S ribosomal RNA". It matches the Rfam family "Bacterial small subunit ribosomal RNA", at positions 338 to 730 of the family's 1533-position model. The record is from RNAcentral.